CAAGUAGUAACAACUGUACUACUAAAUUCUCUAAAGUUCUCUCAUUUCUUUAAGUUUGACAUUAAUAUUUUGUCUUUAUUUUAUAACACGUUAUCAUCACGAGACUCUACUUUCUUAAAAUUUGAUGGCUAAGAAAAGAAAAUUGAUUUGGAAGGUGGAGAAUGCAAGACCGCAAGAACUAGGUGAUCAUCACGACUUGGGUUUCACUUUUCUACUAGUUAUAAUAAGAUAAGUAUAUUAUUAAGUCAUGUUCUUUAAUUAAUUUUAAAAAUAAUAUUGAUAAUGACAAAGUGGUGAUAUUGUUAUAGAUUGAAGUUUGAGUUUAUUAUACUUUGGCCUAAUAUGUUAUUGGUCGAGGGUGUGAUGAUGGAUUUAAAUCUCAUGCCAUUAGAGGGUAAGACAUUGGGUUAUGAGUUUUGAUGCACCAUGAUGAUAAGAUGUUGGGUUCAAGUCCCAUUGAUUUUUGGCCUAAGAUGUCUUUAUAUGGAUAAGAUAUAGAGUUUUAAUCUCAAUACAAUAUAUUGAUGAUAUAAUAAUGACUAAAGCAAAUUUUGUUGAAAAUUCAUGAAAUAUAUCCCAUUGAAUAUACUCCAUUCCUUGAAGUGAAUGUGGUAGCAUGCAGUGUGUAGUAUGUCUGAAAGAAGAUAUGUG
RNAcentral lists this long non-coding RNA (651 nucleotides) under Capsicum annuum. Its description in RNAcentral is "long non-coding RNA (CANN_LNC005392)". Lineage: Eukaryota; Viridiplantae; Streptophyta; Magnoliopsida; Solanales; Solanaceae. The record is from RNAcentral.